AGUCCUAUCCCUACGGUCCUGGAAUUGGGGGUUACUAUCUUGGAAUCUAGGGGCACUCCAGGCUCUGGGCUCAGACGGCUGGCUUCUGCCUACCCGAGCCUUAACCUUUCAAGGACCAGAAGGAUUCCAGAGCUCUUGCCCUAGGUCCUGGGGCAGCGAUGACUCACUGCAGCACCCCCUCCCACUUCGCCAAGCUGCCGUCUCCGCCCACCCCCAAACAAUCUCGACAGCGCAUUUCGGGAGCCACGGCUCCGGGCGCUUUGCUGGGGGCUAAAGGGGUUUAUCCCUUUCCUUGAAUCCCAGCAGGCUAGAACUACCCCCUCCCAGUCUUCAGGCUUGCCACGCUCUCCACCCGAUCCUUCCAUUGAAAGGCAGAGAAGGAAGGAUGUGCUUGGGAACUUUAAGACCCACGAACGACAGCGCACUGAUGGAGCAGCCCAGUGUCUGGGGCAAAGUCCUCGAGGUUCAUUCAUUCAGGAAGCCUCUGACCAGCCUUUACCAUGCGCUGAGUGAGAAGCUGAGGAUAAGGAAAGAGCAAGACCCCCAAGAAACCCUGAUGUCUGGCUGAAAGCCGAAGCAUGACGCAACUUUGCUAUAUUUCUCUCCAACAAGGAUUUGUAUAUUUUCGCUUUCUCCUCAAGUAACACCUGGACCUGCUCCUUUCCCUUCAAACGCUGAGGGCUCAGUCUCCAAGUUCCUUUAUGAAACAGGGUGUACCAUCAGAGACGCAGGUAAGAAACCUGAACUGCGUGGCCUCACAUAAACCCCACCACACCUCUGUCCUGGGCUCCUUCCCCGCAACAGGUGUAAAGACAAAAGGCUCAUUGUCCUUUGGAGCCUAUAGGAUAAACAGAAAGAACAUGUCCUUGCCGGUUAAUCUGCCGGUGAUAAAGAGUAUUGUUUUAUCUCCUGCCAUCUCCACGUUCCAAGAGAUGAAUUCUAUUGUGACACAAAGUCUGCUUUGUCCUUCCAACCCACUGAGAUGUUUAAAUUGGCCUCUCAUAUAUUCCUUGGUUGUCACAAUAAGAGCAAUGAGUUGUUAUAAUGUGUUGAGAGGAUCUUUCCCCCAUGACAAGGAGACCAUCAUCUACAGAGAUGCUAUGAUGCUGAGAAAUAAUGUGCUUCUCUUCUGCUCUAAUUUUUUUUAAUUAAGACUUUUAUUUUUUGAGCAGUUAUAGGUUUAGAGAAAAAUUGAAGGGAAAGUACAGAGAGUUCCCAUCUUCUCUCACCCCUUUCAUCUCUGUUUCCAUACGUUUGCUACAAAUGAUGAGCCAACAGCCAUACGUUAUUAACUAAAGUUCACAGUUUACAUUAGGGUUCACUCUUUGCUUGUACAUUCUAUGGGUUUUGUCAAAUAUAUGAUAACCUGUAUCCUCCAUUAUAGUACAAUACAGAAGAAUCUCACUGCCCUAAAAAUCUCCUGUGUUCCUCCUGUGCAUCCCUCCCUCCCAUCCCCUGGGGAACCACUGAUCUUUUUGCUGGCUCCAGUUUUACCUUUUUCAGAAUGUGAGGUAGUUGGGAGUCAUACAGUAUAUGUGUAUAUAUAUAUGUGUAUAUAUAUGUGUAUAUACAUAUAUAUAUACACAUAUAUAUACAUAUAUAUAUACACAUAUAUAUACAUAUAUAUAUAUAUAAAAAAUAGCCUUUUUAGAUGGAUGUCUUUCCCAUAGCAAUAUGCAUUGAACUUUCCUCCAUGACUUUGUGUGGCUCAAUAGUUCAUUUAUUUUUGUUGCUGAAUAGCUUCUGCUUAAUUUUCAAAGUGUUUAAUGUAAGAAAGCGGUAUAGUCCAGGCGCAGUGGCUCAACACCUGUAGUCCCAGCACUCUGGGAGGCGGAGGCGGUGGAUCACUUGAGCCCAGGAGUUUGAGACCAGCCUGGGUAACAUGAUAAAACCUUGUCUCCAUAAAAAAUACAAAAAUUAGCUGGAAAUGGUAGUGUGCGCUUGUAGUCCCAGCUACUCAGGAGGCUGUGGUGGGAGGAUUGCUUAAGCCCAGGAGCUAGAGCCUAUAGUGAGCCAUGAUUGUGCCACCGCACUCCAGCAUGGGUGACAGAGUGAGAUCCUGUCUCAGAAAAAAAAAAAAAACAAAAAAAAAAAAACCCAGAAACAACAACAACAAAACGGCAGUAUAUUUGUCCCCACCCUCAUCUCUUCCUUUAUGGGUAUUUCCCUAAUUGUGAGAGAUUACCUGUGUUUUAAAAGGUGGCUUACUGUAUGCAUUGAGAAAAUUAAAUGACAUUUCAGACCAGUUCCAAGUACCUUUUGCAAAGCUAGAGAAAUAAAAGUGAAUUCUAGUAUCUCAAUCACAGAGUAAAACUAGAGAAGGUCUGUUGGGCUUCAGGCAACAUUGGUGUUCUUGGCAAUUUUACCCAGAAGAAUUUAUAUUCCUAUAAUUAGUAUUUCCUCCAAAAUUAAUGAUCGCCUGAUUGAUUUAUUUCUUUCCUAGCAGCACUGGAGGUCCCACUUACCUAGUUAGUAAUAACAUUUGCUCUUAAUACAUGAGUCAGUUUUCUUUUUUCCUUUUUUCUUUUUCUUUUUUUUUUUACAUUUCCAAAACAGAAUACCCUGCAGGAAGAAUGGGAUGGCAGUGGAGGAGCUCUCACUCACAUAUCAUGUAAUGUGGGAGGCAGGGCUAUGCGAUAGUCAUAAAGGGUGCAGGCUUCAGAAUCAAAGGAGUGAGGUUGGUGUCCCUGCUUACGCCCUACUAGCUGAGUGUCCUUCAGGUCAUUUCUCCUCUCUCAGACUCAGUGGACUGUUUCCUAAAGCACAGCUCAUAACAGGCUGUACGUGGUAAGACCGUCGGGAAGAUGGAAGGAGAUCAGUCAUCCCUAGAGAGCAUUAAGCACAGUCUCAGCCACAAAACACUUCCUCAAACAUGAUGCAAGCCACACAGGGCAUUUGGCCUGCGUAUAAAGGACAUACUGAGGACAGUGUAGAUGCUCAAGAAAUUAGUCCUGAAUGAUCAAGGGGGGAAAGAGAGGGUUAAUCUUAUCAUAUGUGGGCUCUCAGAGAACACAGAGCUAUAGAAGGAAGCUGACUUAAUAAGGGUCAAGCAUGAUAGGGGAGAUUAGGAACCGUGUGCAAUCUAAUGGAACCACAGAUAACACCUUCUAGUACUUUUUCCCUUUGGCCCUGCCCCUGCUGAGACAGGGCCACUGCUAAUAACUCACAUUCUUCUCUUCUCUCCUCUCAAAAAGCCCAUUUCCUGAGCAAGUAUAUGCUUUGGUAAGGUCAUUAGCGGUCAACAUGGUUCCCAAGUUUAGUGAAUACUUUCAGAUAAAACUGAAGGGUACAAAAUCACUCUUUCCUCUCUCCCUCUCCUUGUCCUACCUCUCACAAUAAAACGACUUAUCUACUAAUUACAAAGACCUCAAUAGUGGAAGAAAUCCAUAUCCUACAUAACAUGGAGAGCUAGCUAUAUACCCUUGGCAUCAGUUUUUAUCCUACUUUUACUUUUUACUGACUUUCAUUUACUGAACAAAGCCUCCUUUGCCAAAGGCAGGGUAAAUAAACUCAGUCACAUCCUGUCUUCCUUACAUCUUUGUUUAUCCAUAAACUGUCGAAGAUACAGAUGAAAAUCCACUAAAGCAUGCUUGAAGCGGUUACACGAAGGCCAAAUAAGAUGGGAAUGGAAAUGCCUGAUGUUAAGGGAAGAUACUACCUAAAAUGAUACUGAGCUGGCCAGUGUAAUGACAUGAAAACAAAACAAAAAAA
This 3711-nucleotide long non-coding RNA is filed under the name Homo sapiens (human). Its description in RNAcentral is "non-protein coding ADAMTS9-AS2:13". Lineage: Eukaryota; Metazoa; Chordata; Mammalia; Primates; Hominidae. The record is from RNAcentral.